Molecule: long non-coding RNA, 3465 nt
Organism: Gallus gallus (chicken)
Lineage: Eukaryota; Metazoa; Chordata; Aves; Galliformes; Phasianidae
Exons: 3
Source: RefSeq, a predicted model, not a curated record
GUGAGCGUUUGCUGGGGGCUGAUUGCCACUUACCAAAAAGGGCUGUCGAAAUUAACAUCAUGGGAGUUUCAGUAGAGAAAAAAAACAAAGCUUUUUCCUCAGCAUUUUGAGUCAAGCUGAGGGCGAUUACUGCUCAGUUCUGCAUUCUCAGUAUCUACUUGUUCCUAAUACAUUGAUGGAGUGCUUCCCCACUGCUCCGUAAAUUAAAUUAACCCACGCUGAUGAGCUGAGCAGCUCCCAUGUCAGCAAAGUCAGGAAAUCAUGCAGGACUCCAAGCAGCCUCAUCUACUCCCAGUGCUGUACCAGGAGCCCCAUCACUGGGAGGGCACAGCAAACCCGUAUGCCCCAGGCAGAAAUUCCCAUGAUUAUUUCCAACUCAUUUCCAGGCUGAUGGCUGCUGGUCCUGAAGAACCACAGAAUCACUAAGGUUGGAAAGACUGCUAAGAUCAUCACACCCAACCCCAGCCUACCCCACCAUGCUCACUAACCAUGUCCAUCACUGUCACAUCUCCAUGUUUCUUGAGCAUCUCCAGGGACAGUGAUUCCCCCACCUCCCUGGGCAGCCUGUGCCAGUGCCUUGGAUGGAAGGCCCUUGGACGGUGACCAAGAUGCUGGCUGUCGUGGUGGUCCUCUUCGCCCUUCUGUGGCUGCCAUACCGCACACUGGUGGUGGUGAACUCCUUCGUGGACCCCCCGUACCUCAACAUUUGGUUCCUCCUCUUCUGCCGGAUGUGCAUCUACCUGAACAGUGCCAUCAACCCCAUCAUCUACAGCCUGAUGUCGCAGAGAUUCAGAUCUGCCUUCAGGAAGCUCUGCAGGUGCGGAUGGAAGAGCACGGAGGUGCCCACACCACGCAGCGUCCCGGUGCUCUAUAGCAGAGCAAAGGAUGGCUCUCAGGGCAGCUCCGAGCAGGGCACCCACCAGGAUGACCUGAACGGUCCCCAUGCACCUGUGAGAAGCAGGGCUGCCAUGCACACACCGGGACCCUGACACAACGCAGGCAGCAGGAGCUGUGCGGCUGUGUGCACCACGCUGGGAAAGUGCCAACAGAAAUUGCUUGGGCAUUGCAACAAGCUUAAGUUAAUACCUCUCCAGGGCAUUUAACAGAACAGAUUCUUGGAGGCAAAAUAAUUUGCUUUUCCUUAAUGCUAAUUUAUUCUUGCGUGUUGAAGCGUUAGGCGCAGGUCAAUGUUCAGCAUCUCUAAAGAAUCUGUAGUUAAAUAUAGCAGUGCAACGCCAUUCUGUGUUAUGUGCAAGUGCAGCUGCUUGUUGAGUCAGGCCAGAGCAUGGGAAGGAAAUGCAGGAAGAGAAGGGCAGUCAAGGAAAACCUGUUGCCAGAGCAGAUUUCCUAGAGGGUGAGCUUCCCCUACCCAAACGUAGGAGGCUUCUGACAUGAGCUGCUCCUCCAGGGGUCUGUUGGAGUUAGCAGGACAAUGUGGCACUUUGUCCUCUCAUUCCAGGAAGAGAUGAAUGCACUCCUCUGGUGUGUUAUUUCCUUCCACCAACACCAAAGGGACCACUCUGCCUCUCCGAUGGAGACUCGUGCAUUACACGUGGCUGAAGCUGGGUGUCAUGAACCUCACCCCGUGCUUCUGUGCCAUUGCUGUGCCAACCAGCCCAAGGACACUUGCCCCAGGCUCACAAGCGACUCUCUGGACUGGGAGUAAAAUGUAAGAGAUCACACAGGAGGCAGAUGCCAAGGCUCCUGCCAAGCAAAACAAGAGGCAGCCACCAGUAACCCUGAAGUGACCGCACACCAUUCUUUGAGCAGCCAGUUCAGCCUCAGCAUCCACCACUGCUUCACAACAAACCAGAGCGUUUAAUCAGAACUUUACCUCUGCUUAGGAAAAGGUCUGUGUGACAUUUCAGAGCGGACACAAUCUUAAAAAACCUUUUUUGUGUCUAUGGGAAAUAACUGCCCUGGGCAAAGAGACCUCAUUCCAUGCAGGGAAGGGUUCAGGGUCUAUUUUGUUUCCGUGUGGCGUGGCUUUGCGUGUGUGAUUAUUAUAUUGUGAAUUAUUAAAUCAUCUAUUCGGGCUCAAAAGAACCAUAGGAUGAGGAAAGAGAGCACUGGUUUUGCUGGUAUUGAGGAAACAGUGUUUGUGUGGAAAUGGAGGUUUCAUAUCACAUAAUUUUGGUUUAUUUCUGAAUACUGGAUCUCGAGGAGCAAAGUUCCUCAUUAUUCGAAAGGAAGCUCUGCACAGAAAUUUCAGAGUUCCUUCGUGAAGAGAAGGGAAAUCCCUUUGCUGCAGUGCAAGAAGAGCACGACCCUUAAAGGAACGAGAAGUGAGCAAUUUGCUGCUAACGGUCUUCUCUAUCGCAGUGAUGUCUUCUCCCCUUAGUGCUGGAAAUUGCUUGCAAGAACCGUGUGCUCAGAGAGGAGAAGCGGGCUGGGGAUGUGUGCUCUGUGCAGAGCAGCAGAAAGGCAGCCCUGUCCUGCAGCCACACGGGGUGAGAAUUCAGUGCCUGAGCUGCAGAGCCCUCCUGUGAGCUGAGUUGGGGCACUGCUCGGCAAUGGGGCGCAGCCCAGCAAUGAAACAUCUCUGCAAACUCAUUUCUGUCUCCCCGUCACAUUUCCAGGCUCUGAAAUUUUUGUUUGGCAGAUUUGAGGUGCAAGUAAAACUCACUUCUCUUUUCCCCCUUCUGCCCUUAUCUGCCCAGGUACGGCGUGACUCUUUGCUAUUUCUCUAGAAGUAAUUGGCAGAUAAAUUCUCCAGAUACCACGAGACCUCUAGUAAAUGCACCAUUCUGCAGAUGAGAGCUCCUGAUCCUUCUCCCUGCACAUAUGCUGACAUGCUGGGACAGUCUGAGAGUGUUUUAGGUGGAACAGUGUUCCAUGUUUUAGGUGAAGAACAGCAUUCAGCUUGCCAAGGAGAUGCUGGUGGAGAGAAUGGGUAGCUGAACACUGCCGGGACAUAAAUCAUCAGUAGGAAGGAAUGACCAGAAAUACCUCUGAUGCUGAAGGCUCCAACUGAUGGCUCCCAGGGGAGCUUUGGCUGGAUGGAGGCUGAAGCCUCACCCCGGCCCUCCUCAUACAGGGCUGAAGGCCAGGAGGAGAUGCUCCUGCUCCCUGCAUAGACGGAUGGCGGAGUACGACUGUGCUGUCCCCGGGCUGGACAGGUCACUCUCAAAGGACAGCAGGGCUCAGAUUGCACCUUUCACCUCCCACCAGUGCUGCCCUUUGGUCACAGGAUCAGUGCCUCUGUCCCUAUUCUCAUGUCGAGCUGGGAGCGGUGCAAGGGACAUUACCCAAAAGCAGCAGCCCCUGAGGCAAAGCCCCAAGCACUGUUCCUUCACCCUGGGGAAGGGGCACGCUCAUCUUUUCUCCAUUACUAAUAUUUUUGAAGCAAUACACCAUCGCUCCAGCAGGAGACCCACCUCCCUGAUGCCUCCACACAUAGCCAAAGAUCUGCUCCAUUCAUCAGCCUGAGAUUGAUGAGGUGCAAAGGGCUCUGGUUACCCUGCU